AAUUAUAAGACCAAUUGCAUUAUUUCUCUUUUAAUUUCUAGUUUCCAAAAAUGAUUUUUAAUAUUUUUUAUUUUAUCAUUUGAUAUUUUUUUAUGAAUUUUCUAUUUUCUGGUUAUUUUUAAUUCAUUUUAAAUAGUUUUUGAUAUUAAAAAAAUAAAAAAAUAUUUUCUCAACCUCUUUGAAUGAUGAUGGAUCUAUGAAAAAUAUUAUCAUCAAUUUAUUAAUUGAUUUGAGAUUUAUUUGAGAUUUUAGUUCAAUUAGGUUAAAUUUAUGCAUUUUUAA
RNAcentral lists this long non-coding RNA (282 nucleotides) under Lathyrus oleraceus (garden pea). RNAcentral describes it as "Pisum sativum (pea) long non-coding RNA (PSAT_LNC001589)". Lineage: Eukaryota; Viridiplantae; Streptophyta; Magnoliopsida; Fabales; Fabaceae. The record is from RNAcentral.